Molecule: ribosomal RNA, 467 nt
Filed under: uncultured bacterium
Lineage: Bacteria
Description: partial 16S ribosomal RNA
Rfam family: Bacterial small subunit ribosomal RNA
Source: RNAcentral
ACGAACGCUGGCGGCGUGCUUCACACAUGCAAGUCGAACGGUGAUGCUCCAGCUUGCUGGAGUGGAUCAGUGGCGAACGGGUGAGUAACACGUGAGCAACCUGCCCCAGACUCUGGAAUAAGCGCUGGAAACGGCGUCUAAUACUGGAUACGAAACUGGCCCGCAUGGGCAUGGUUUGGAAAGUUUUUCGGUUUGGGAUGGGCUCGCGGCCUAUCAGCUUGUUGGUGAGGUAAUGGCUCACCAAGGCGACGACGGGUAGCCGGCCUGAGAGGGCGACCGGCCACACUGGGACUGAGACACGGCCCAGACUCCUACGGGAGGCAGCAGUGGGGAAUAUUGCACAAUGGGCGAAAGCCUGAUGCAGCGACGCCGCGUGAGGGAUGACGGCCUUCGGGUUGUAAACCUCUUUCAGCAGGGAAGAAGCGAAAGUGACGGUACCUGCAGAAGAAGCACCGGCUAACUACGUG